Molecule: non-coding RNA, 413 nt
Organism: Danio rerio (zebrafish)
Lineage: Eukaryota; Metazoa; Chordata; Actinopteri; Cypriniformes; Danionidae
Source: RefSeq, a predicted model, not a curated record
CAUAAACUGCCCCCUGGUGGCGAAUAUGUGUUUCGCUUCAUCCUUGCAUUACGGUGGAGUGGGCGGAGCCUCGUGAAUGACGGUUAAUUUUUUCAAACGAGGAAGUGAAGUCAAGUCCGCCAUUUCAUCUUCUUCUUUUUAUCGGAAAAGAAAGGAAUCAUGCAAGGAUGCAAGCUGAAGGAAAGGACAACUCUCACAUCAGUGCAUUACUAAUUGUUUGACUUCAUCAUCAAGCACACCAGGUGGUGCGGUGCACAGUGGAUAGCUCUGUUGCCUCCCAGCAAAAAUGUUUCUGGUUCGAGCCUCGGCUGGGUCAGUUGGCAUUUCUGUGUGAAGUUUGUAUGUUCUCCCCGUGUUGGCGUGGGUUUCCUCCGGGUGCUCCUGUUUCCCCCACAAGACAUGCGGUACAGGUG